AUUUACCCCUUUGCACAAACCAUGCCGAUCACUCCUGUGCUCCCCGCUCUAUAAAAAUCACACCAAAUAUGUCUCUUUGUUCUGUCUGUACAUCUCUCGAUGCAUAUCUUCUUCAGGCGUUCUCGUGCUUUGGAGCGACCAUCUUAACCGCCUCGCCGACCGACAGGAAUAUCUUGUCGUCGCCGAUGAGCUCUGUGAAUCUCGCCGCCCGCAGCUUCUGGAUCACUAUUGGCCCGGGAUUGGCGAGGAUCAGCUGUAAGUGGCACACCCAGAUUGUUCUCUUAGUCAAGUGCUUCGUCCAUCAACAUUGAUUCUUGCGGUAGCAGCUAGUAUAGGCAGAAUUGGAGUUCUAGUCUUUGUUAUUUACCUGAAUUUUGCGCUUUUCAAGUGCUUUUAGCAAUUCCUCCAAGGCAUGGAUUCCGCUUGUGUCGAUGUCAGUUACCGCUGUUAAGAGUUGGCUUCUGCUCCUCCUGUUGUUCUUCCUCAUCCCUCAGCCAUCUCAGGAUCCUGAAAAUCGUAUAUCAGGUAGCCAAGUAUGACUUACAAUAGCGACGCCUUGCUUGUCUGCACGAGUGAGGUACACACACAAGGUGGAUAAGAUGACCGAUAUAAGCGGCGCGAUUGCAGAAACCCAGAAGAGCUUUUUAUUCUUCUUAGCCUGAAUUAUCCCAGUUAGUUGAAGGAAUGCCAAGAACGAUGCUGCGAUCAAUAUUGUCUGCCAGUUCCACUAAAUCAACAAAGCAAGAACAGAUUUCAUGACUGAUAUGAUAUCUGACUUCUUGGUGAAGACCGCAAUGCCAAGGAAUCCCUUGAGCUGUUGAAGAGCAAUGGUGACGGCUGCACCCGCCAUGAAACCAACGAUGGCGGCAUGAGACAAGAACUCUAUGAUGAACCCUAGCCUGCAGCAAAGUCCGUUCAUGAACUACCAUUCUAAUGCAUAACCGAGUUGGUUAACAGGAUCUGAGGUAAUACCUAAAGAAUCCGAGCGCGAACUGAGUGAGGCCCGCGAAGAAUGUGGCGGUGAAGGCCAGGCUGGUGUACU
Long non-coding RNA from Lolium rigidum, 1042 nucleotides. RefSeq lists it as uncharacterized. The record is from RefSeq and is a predicted model, not a curated record. Lineage: Eukaryota; Viridiplantae; Streptophyta; Magnoliopsida; Poales; Poaceae. The transcript is spliced from 5 exons.